Molecule: long non-coding RNA, 16772 nt
Filed under: Hordeum vulgare
Lineage: Eukaryota; Viridiplantae; Streptophyta; Magnoliopsida; Poales; Poaceae
Description: long non-coding RNA (HVUL_LNC005608)
Source: RNAcentral
UGGCCGGAGCGCGCGGGCGACGAAAGUUUUGUUCGAACGGACAAGAUCCGAAUUCUGAAGAACUGUCCAUACUGUUUUAGGGGGGCGCAUCCGUCUCUCCGGCCGGUGCUCUCUUGCCUGAACCGGAGGAGGUAUCAGGGCACGAUCAGGUGGCAUGAAGCAUAGGCGCGAGUUGCUUCCAAUAUGUGUCCAUGGCAAGCUGAUUAAGCUUCCCGGAUGGGUGGAAAUUGUACUUGUUCUCGAUCGGCCUCUGCAGUCCGGAUGAUUUGUUUAUUAGAAAUGAAUACAGGAAAAAUAAAGGAUCUGAAGAAAGCAAUCAAAAAUCAUUCAAACUUGGUUAGCUUCAGUUUGGAUAGCUCGUCUGCUCCAUUUUUUUUUGUUCCACUUGAUGACUGACACAGUGCUAAAGUACUGUCGCUGUAAAUAAUUCAAACCAAUCGUUAUAAAUUAUUGUUGCCCUAAAUUUUGUGAUGUUCACAGCAAUCUGUACAAGUAAUGCAAGUUAGAGCAUCUCUAGCAUAUCCCAUAUAANGCUGCCGCGGCCGACCUCAACCACCACUGUUGUCGAUCUCAACCCACCCGCCUCAGCGGCCGUACCUCUGCCCGCUUGCUGCCCCCGUUUCGGCGCUCGAACACAGCUUCUGGGUCAAAUAAACGCGACAGCUAUAGUGACUGGGGAUGAUGCGUCUGUUCGAUGCAGAACGGCGGCGAUGCGCAGAUAAGGCACGGCGGAGCGAAGUACUUGCAGGUGGAGGCGGGCCUCCAUGGCUCACACGGGAAACUCCGAGGUUAUGGCGCGGCAACGACGACUCCUUAUGGCGAGAUAGAGGUUCCUAACCCUUGCUCCCCUCGUCGUAUCCCCUCCUCCGGCAGGAACUCAUCAUCUGGUGAGAUCCCCUCCCCAUGCCUCCAACCGUGUGCCAAGGAUCGGUCAGAAAUUUUGUUUUGUGGGAAUUUGUUUGCUGAUGAAUGAAUGUAUUGAAUAUAAGAUUACACUGUUGUAGAGACAGAGAAUGGAACACCACCUUCAGUUUAUCAUCUGAUCCCACAUUCUCUACCCCAUGAGUGAAAUAAGAUAACAGUCCAUUGAUCAAUUCAGGUAGCCUAUUUGUUUUGCUUUGCUUGUUCCGUUUAAUUUUUCAUUAUGGUCGAAUUAACAAUGGACGGGUUAAUUUUUCAACAAAAUAGGAUAGAACUGACUACAUUAGUUAGUUAGCUUANUUGCAUCGCACGUGCCCUUUUGCUAGUUAUAGUUGAACAAAGUAGAUCUUUUCAACUACAAUUAAUUAGGUAUAAAAAAUAUAUUAUACAUUUAAAUCCUUGUAUAUUCUUGCAUUUGAAGACUGUUUCUUUCUUUUCCGUUAAUAAAUAUGGCUGCAUGCAGGCCGGGUUAACCUCCUUCUUUUUCAUAAAGUCCUUGUAUAUUAUUGAUUUUAUAUGGAGUUUUUCAUUUUUGCUUAAUUAGAACACUUAAAUGUACAAUAGUUAAGGUAUAUAUCUACAUGUGCCUCAUACGAACUCAAAUGAAAAGCAUUGCAUCUCAUAUCGCACGAUACUAACAAAAAUAAGGAAGCCUACAUCAAGAGUAUCUAGACACUCUUGGAUUGGAUGCCGCUUUUACGUCUAGACACCAGUCCAAAUGUCUAAAAAUGACCAGCAUUCCGGUAUCGCCAAAAUCUCGAAAGGAUAUAGGACGCUCGGACACGCCCAUGACAUUGCACUAACCUGGAGGGCCCGCACCAAUUCACGUGUAUUCGCCCCCCUCCCCUCCUUGCCAUCGAAGGUCAGCGCCACCGGACGAUGCCACCGGACUUUGAAAACAGUAUGUCAAACUAUGUACCCUCUCGGAUUCAGACGAUAGAUGUCAAAAUGAUUGAACUUUUAAAAACAAGCAUGUCCAUCACUGUUUGCGUUAUGAGGGAUACACACAGCCAUGACGAGUCUUUGUAUCUAUGAAUGAAGAAAAUUUAUAAUGACGGUCCAUAACCUUGAACAGAAAUGAUAUAUUGAAGACCGAAGCUUACCUUUUUUAAGGACGCGGUUAUUUAAGCCGGGCACAUGGCUGCUCACGCAGCUAGCCAGCUAGGCGUGACUAAACCCCCAACUAAGCGGGCCCAACACCGGAAAUUUUAAGUACAAAAAUAAUAAUUGGUGUUUACACAACCUACAAGCCCAACAUGGACAAAAUGAUCGACCUGCAUGUCCGUGCAUGUACUUGGUGUUUUGGUCACAAAACCCUAUUCCCAAAAGUUUUAGGAAUAGGGUUUUGUGAUCGUAAAUGACAAAAAUUGAGGACCCACUGUCACUGUUUGCGGGGGCGUCUCGAAGCCUAUGGACGUAUAUGGACCUGGAUUAGGCAAUUUCUGCUGUAGGUACUCUUAGAGCAACUCUAGCCCAUACUAUAAAAGUCUCUAAACUGUAAAUUUUCAGGAAGUAUAUGUGUUUGGACCGUUUUUGUGGCCACAUUAAACCCCGUAUACUCGGCCCGGCCCGUAAAUGUUUUAUGCUGGCCCGCCAACGCCCCCCGCCGCUCAUGAUAUUUUUGCAAGUCCUCAAGGUCGAUACGGGUACGGACCCUAUCCAUCCGCUAGAGUGAAAUCCCCAUUUCUCACCACAUUUCUCGUCGCCGGUGUGUCAAAUCCACCGCCCACUCACCGAUCCACGAGAUGUGGAACUCUGGUCGGCGCGGCGGCGAUGACCUCGUGCACAGGCGUUGCGUCAGAGCGAAUGUGUCACGGAGGAGCUCCACCCUGCGGUACACUCAUCACGGGCUAACGCAGUCGCCGUUGCUCCUCCGCCACGAGACGGAGGAGUACGACCGCCCGCGUGCGCGGCUCUUCUCCUACGGAUGCAUCUCCUCCGGGGCGUCCAGCUUGCACUUCUCUUUCACCCCGAUUAAGUGGGAGCUGGAGGAGCUCCCCCUAGUCCGUGCGCUGAAAAGGAAGCCGGAGCCGAGGCGGGGCGAAAGCGACGGGACGGUGGCAUUGUCUAGCCGGAGGACUUGCUCCUACCGACGAAGGCGGGGGCGAUUUUGGCCGCGAUGCUCGCGUGUAGUGCACGGGAGGAGGAACAGGAGCGGCAGGCCGCCGGUGGGAGGAGGAGAUCGGCGCCGUGCUUUACGAGCAGGGCCUCGCAUUGGCCCUCGUGUUCGACGAGAAGGAGGAGGAGUGGCGCCAUGAGUCCGCUGAGCAGGAUAGCAUCUUCGUCGAUCUCACCUUCAACUCCGACUCCGGUUGAGCGCCGCUCGGCUUCGGUGAGCUCGAAGGUCAGCUACCGCACCAUACGAGGUCCGAUGAGCUUGAUUUUGGCCAGUUCUUGGGUAGGGUAGCUCCGACGAGCUUUUUAUGUAAUAUAUCUAUGCUAUGUAUGAACGAUAUGCACCUAUGUAUGAAGAAUAUGUCCAUUUUGCGUUAUAAUUUGUUGCAUGAAACUUAUUUUUAAAUUUUUUUGUUCAGGUUACAAUUUCUUUUGUGACGUGGCGAUUUUGCAUCCGUUAGACCCCAUUCUCAGUGUCAAAACUGGCGGAUCUCGGGUAGGGGGUCCCGAGCCUGGAUCUUGGAUCAACGGGGAACAGAAAAACACAGAGACAAUAGUUACCUAGGUUCGGGCCGUCUCGAAGAGGUAAAACCGUACGUCCUGCUUGAUUAUAUUGAUGAGUGUAUGACCAUUACAGAGUCGAUCUACCACGAGAUCAGAUGUACUAAACAUUAGAUGAUGGUUUUGUCGUCUUCGAACUAAAACCCUCUAGUUUAUAUUGACCCUAGGGGUACCUACGAUUACAUAUGGUCGAUUAUCAGCAGGGAAUAAACAUGUCGAUUCUGCAUCUUGACUUGGAGCACACACCAAGGCUUCAGAGGUUUCCUUCCUGGUGCCAUCUUAUAGUUCGGCCCUUCAGUAGUAGUCACAAAGCGGCCCACCUGUCCGGCCCAUAGAGAUAGAUUGGCGGCCCGAGGACCCCUUAGUCCCGAGCUCCACGAGAGUAUGGACUCGGACCGGAUGAGAGCAGAGAUGAGGCUUGAAAUUGAGAGGGAGAAUAUCGAGUUGGGAAAGUAAGCGACGACGACCAAAUGGGAACUCAAGAAGGCCAAGUAAUUUGAGAGAUUAAGCUCAAGAAGGAGAGGUUGCAACUCGCAUGAGACACGGAGAAUGUGAAGAUCUUGUUGACGGACGAAUCCGUCUUGGAUAAGCAUACCAGAAAUGGCUUAAGGAGAAGAAGAAGGAGAUCAACGUCCAUAGAGAUAAGGAGGCAGCGAGGGUGUCUGCAGCAGAGGAUCAAGCGGCCAGGAUGUAGGUGGAGGAGGCAGUCAGGAUGCAGGUGGAGGAGUCAGCCACGAUGCACGGGGAGAUGGUUGCCCGCAUGGACGCACAGAUGGUUGCGUGGACGGAGCAGGACGCAUGAACGAACUCGUCCGGCCAGUGAUCGGACAAGCACACCCUUGCCACUCGGACAUUGAUUUCAUUUUGACAUGUCCGAUUUGUUGAAGUAUGAUUUCAUUUGCUUUUGUUUUGAAUUGUUGAAUUUGAACAAUUUGUAUCGCAUGAUCGACGUCCGUGAAUUACAUCGAUUUGUGGAUUGUAUUUAAGAUAUGUGAAUGUACGACGCAACAUAUAAGGGUUCGAUGGAUGGCGUGCGCGGACGCGUCCGGACACGCCCGCGAACAUAUAAGGGCUGGAUUGAUCGUCAAGUCCGACUAUAGAUGCUCUAACUUUAGUACAACUAAACAACUGUAUGAUUGAAACCAACAAAUAAAACAACCGGGAUAGAAUAAAAAAUUCAGAAGAUUGCAAUUCUCCAAAAAUUUCAUGAAAAUCCUUUUUCAUGAGACCGUAAGAGCAACUCCAACGGGGCGACCCAAAUGGAUACGUAUUUUGUCCGUUUUUCAUCCGUUUGGGUCACCUUCCGCUUAACGGACAUGGGGCGGACACGCACGGAUGGUUUGUGCUUCUAAUGCGCACACACAAAAACGAAGUCGGUCCUCGUCGCGCCGAUCCUCCUCUCGUCAUCGCGCCGCCUCAUUGGUGGCCUCUUCGCCUUGCCGAUGGCCUCUCUUCUCAAGCCCUCCGACCCCCUUCGCCUCGCCCCUUCGUCCCUCGCGCCAUCGCCGGAUCUAGCCGGUGCCGAAGUCGGGGGCUCGCUCUGCCACGGGCUCCAACUCCCCAUGACCUCCAGCGCGAGCGUUAGUUGCUCUAGCGAGGGAUGUGGCGGUAUGUGCUGGUGGACUCUCUCCUCGCGCCCUCCGACCCCCUUCGCGCCGCCCCUCUGCCCCCUCGCACCAUCGUCGGAUCUUGUCAGGGGCUCGCUCCGUUGCGGGCUCCACCUCCCCAUGAGCUCCAGCGCGAGCGCCUAUUGCUGAGAUGUGGGACCAAGGCGAACACGAGCGGACGACAUGGUCAAUGGAAGCGCCCGAUUCUGUCCACUUCGUACCCAUCUGAUCCCAUAUUUGGGCUAAGUUUGGGUCAGGGAGGAAAAUAGACGGACAACAUGCGGACAUGCACGUCCGUUUGGAUCGUCCCAUUGGGCCAAGUAUUGUGUACGGGCGACUCAAACGGACAAAAUGGAUCAUUGAAAGGACGUGGAUGUCGCCUAGAGGGGGUGAAUAGGCGCUUUUAAAAUAACUAUGGUUUAGGCUUGAACAAAUGCGGAAUAAAACUAAUGUUUAAUUUGUCAAGCACAAAACCUAAAACAACCAGGCUCACCUAUGUGCACCAACAACUUUUGCUAAGGAAGAUAAACAACGAAGUGAUAGCGAGAAAUACAACAAGAAAUAAUAUGGCUAUCACAAAUUAAAGUGCAUAAGCAAAGAGCUCGGGUGAGAGAUAACCAUGCCACGCGGAGACGACGAUGUAUCCCGAGGUUCACACCCUUGCGGAUGCUAAUCUCAGUUUGAAGCGGUGUGGAGGCACAAUGCUCCCCAAUAUGCCACUUGUUGGAAAUAUGCCCUAGAGGCAAUAAUAAAUUAGUUAUUAUUAUAUUUCUUAGUUCAUGAUAAUCGUUUAUUAUCCAUGCUAUAAUUGUAUUGAAUGAAGACUUAUAUACAUGUGUGGAUACAUAGACAAAACACUGUCCCUAGCAAGCCUCUAGUUGGCUAGUCAGUUGAUCAAAGAUAGUCAGGGUCUUCUGAUUAUGAACAAGGUGUUGUUGCUUGAUAACUGGAUCACGUCAUUAGGAGAAUCACGUGAUGGACUAGACCCAAACUAAUAGACGUAGCAUGUUGAUCGUGUCAUUUUGUUGCUACUGUUUUCUGCGUGUCAAGUAUUUGUUCCUAUGACCAUGAGAUCAUAUAACUCACUGACACCAGAGGAAUGCUUUGUGUGUAUCAAACGUCGCAACGUAACUGGGUGACUAUAAAGAUGCUCUACAGGUAUCUCCGAAGGUGUUAGUUGAGUUAGUAUGGAUCGAGACUGGGAUUUGUCACUCCGUGUGACGGAGAGGUAUCUCGGGGCCCACUCGGUAAUACAACAUCACACACAAGCCUUGCAAGCAAUGUAACUUAGUGUAAGUUGCGGGAUCUUGUAUUACGGAACGAGUAAAGAGACUUGCCGGUAAACGAGAUUGAAAUAGGUAUGCGGAUACUGACGAUCGAAUCUCGGGCAAGUAACAUACCGAAGGACAAAGGGAAUGACAUACGGGAUUAUAUGAAUCCUUGGCACUGAGGUUCAAACGAUAAGAUCUUCGUAGAAUAUGUAGGAUCCAAUAUGGGCAUCCAGGUCCCGCUAUUGGAUAUUGACCGAGGAGUCUCUCGGGUCAUGUCUACAUAGUUCUCGAACCCGCAGGGUCUGCACACUUAAGGUUCGACGUUGUUUUAUGCGUAUUUGAGUUAUAUGGUUGGUUACCGAAUGUUGUUCGGAGUCCCGGAUGAGAUCACGGACGUCACGAGGGUUUCCGGAAUGGUCCGGAAACGAAGAUUGAUAUAUAGGAUGACCUCAUUUGAUUACCGGAAGGUUUUCGGAGUUACCGGGAAUGUACCGGGAAUGACGAAUGGGUUCCGGGAGUUCACCGGGGGGGGCAACCCACCCCGGGGAAGCCCAUAGGCUUUGGGGAGACACACCAGCCCUUAGUGGGCUGGUGGGACAGCCCAAAAGGGCUCUAUGCGCCAAGAAGAAGAAAAUCAAGAGAAAAGAAAAAAAAGGAGGAGGUGGGAAGGAAGGGGGACUCCCUCCCACCAAACCAAGUCCAACUCGGUUUGGGGGGGAGUCCUCCCCCCUUGGACUCGGCCGACCCCCUUGGGGCUCCUUGAGCCCCAAGGCAAGGUCCCCUCCCUCCCACCUAUAUAUACGGAGGUUUUAGGGCUGAUUUGAGACGACUUUUCCACGGCAGCCCGACCACAUACCUCCACGGUUUUUCCUCUAGAUCGCGUUUCUGCGGAGCUCGGGCGGAGCCCUGCUGAGACAAGGUCAUCACCAACCUCCGGAGCGCCGUCACGCUGCCGGAGAACUCUUCUACCUCUCCGUCUCUCUUGCUGGAUCAAGAAGGCCGAGAUCAUCGUCGAGCUGUACGUGUGCUGAACGCGGAGGUGCCGUCCGUUCGGUACUAGAUCGUGGGACUGAUCGCGGGAUUGUUCGCGGGGCGGAUCGAGGGACGUGAGGACGUUCCACUACAUCAACCGCGUUCACUAACGCUUCUGCUGUACGAUCUACAAGGGUACGUAGAUCACUCAUCCCCUCUCGUAGAUGGACAUCACCAUGAUAGGUCUUCGUGCGCGUAGGAAAUUUUUUGUUUCCCAUGCGACGUUCCCCAACAGUGGCAUCAUGAGCUAGGUUCAUGCGUAGAUGUCUUCUUGAGUAGAACACAAAUGUUUUUGUGGGCGGUGAUGUGCGUUUUGCUGCCCUCCUUAGUCUUUUCUUGAUUCCGCGGUAUUCUUGGAUUGAAGCGGCUUGGACCGACAUUACUCGUACGCUUACGAGAGACUAGUUUCAUCGCUACGAGUAACCCUGUUGCUCAAAGAUGACUGGCAAGUGUCAGUUUCUCCAACUUUAGUUGAAUCGGAUUUGACCGAGGAGGUCCUUGGAUGAGGUUAAAUAGCAACUCAUAUAUCUUCGUUGUGGUGUUUGCGUAAGUAAGAUGCGAUCCUACUAGAUACCCAUGGUCACCACGUAAAACAUGCAACAACAAAAUUAGAGGACGUCUAACUUGUUUUUGCAGGGUAUGCUUGUGAUGUGAUAUGGCCAACGAUGUGAUGUGAUAUAUUGGAUGUAUGAGAUGAUCAUGUUGUAAUAGUUAAUAUCGACUUGCACGUCGAUGGUACGGCAACCGGCAGGAGCCAUAGGGUUGUCUUUAAACUAACGUUUGUGCUUGCAGAUGCGUUUACUAUAUUGCUAGGACGUAGCUUUAGUAGUAAUAGCAUGAGUAGCACGACAACCCCGAUGGCGACACGUUGAUGGAGAUCAUGAUGAUGGAGAUCAUGGUGUGACGCCGGUGACAAGAAGAUCGUGCCGGUGCUUUGGUGAUGGAGAUCAAGAAGCACGUGAUGAUGGCCAUAUCAUGUCACUUAUGAAUUGCAUGUGAUAUUAAUCCUUUAUGCACCUUAUCUUGCUUAGAACGGCGGUAGCAUUAUGAGGUGAUCUCUCACUAAAAUUUCAAGACGAAAUUGUGUUCUCCCCGACUGUGCACCGUUGCGACAGUUCUUCGUUUCGAGACACCACGUGAUGAUCGGGUGUGAUAGACUCAACGUUCACAUACAACGGGUGCAAAACAGUUGCACACGCGGAACACUCGGGUUAAGCUUGACGAGCCUAGCAUGUGCAGACAUGGCCUCGGAACACAUGAGACCGAAAGGUCGAGCAUGAAUGGUAUAGUUGAUAUGAUUGGCAUAGAGAUGCUUACCACUGAAACUAUUCUUGACUCACGUGAUGAUCAGACUUGAGAUAGUGGAUUUGGAUCAUGUACCACUCAAAUGACUAGAGAGAUGUACUUUUUGAGUGGGAGUUCUUAAGUGAUAUGAUUAAUUGAACUAAUUGUCAUGAACAUAGUCUAAUGGUCUUUACGAAUUACGAUGUAGCUUGCCCUACAGCUCUACUGUUUUUAUGUGUUCCUACAGAAAAUUUAGUUGAAAGUUGAUAGUAGCAAACUUUGAAGAGGAUUGUCCUCGUUGCUGCGCAGAAGGCUUACGUCCUUAAUGCACCACUCAGUGUGCUGCACCUCGAGCGUCGUCUGUGGAUGCUGUGAACAUCCGACAUACACGUUUCUGAUGACUACACGAUAGUUCAGUGCAAAAUACUUAAAUGGCUUAGAAGCAAGGCGCCGAAGACGUUUUGGAACGUCACGGAACAUAAGUGAUGUUCUAAAGAGAUGAAAUUGUGAUUUCAUGCUUGUGCCCUUGUUAAGAGGUACGAGACCUCCGACAAGAUUCUUUGUCCACAAAAUAAAGGAGAAAAGCUCAAUCGUUGAGCAUGUGCUCAGAUUGUCUGAGUACGACAAUCGCUUGAAUCAAGUGGGGGUUAAUCUUCCAGAUGAGAUAGUGAUAGUUCUCCAAAGUCACUGCCACCAAGCCGUGAGAGCUUCGUGAUGAACUAUAACAUAUCAAGGAUAGAUACAAUGAUCUUUGAGUGAUUCACGAUGUUUGACACUGCGAAAGUAGAAAUCAACAAGGAGCGUCAAUAGUUGAUGGUUAGUAAAACCACGAAGUUUCGAGAAAGGCAAGGGCUAGAAGGGAUACUUCGUGAAAACGGCAAAACAGUUGCUGCACUAAUGAAGAGACCCAAGAUUAAACCCAAACCUGAGACUAAGUGCUUCUGUAAUGAGGGGAACAGUCACAGAGGCGGAGCAACUCUAGAUACUUGGUAGAUAAGUAGGCUGGCAAAAGUCGAAAGAAGUAUAUUUGAUAUACAUGAUGUGUACUUUAUUAGUACUCCUAGUAGCAUGAGGGUAUUGGAUACCGGUUCGGUUGCUAAGUGAUUAGUAACACGAAAUGAUAGCAAUGGCAUAAAUGGAGACUAGCUAAAGGCGAGGUGACGAUACGUGUUGGAAGUGUUUCCAAGAUUGAUAUGAUCAAAACGUCGCACGCUCCCUCUACCAUCGGGAUUGGUGUUAAACCUAAAUAAUUGUUAUUUGGUGCUUGCGUUAAGCAUGAACAUGAUUGGAUCAUGUUUAUUGCAAUACGAUUAUUCAUUUAAAGAGAAUAAUGGUUACUCUAUUUGCUUGAAUAAUCACCUUCAAUGGUUUAUUGAAUCUCGAUCGUAGUGUUACACAUGUUCAUGAUAUUGGUGCCAAAAGACACGAGGUAAUAAUGAUAGUACCACUUACUUGUGGCACUGCCGCUGGAGUCAUGUUGGUAUAAAUUGCAUGAAGAGGCUCCAUGCUGAUGGAUCUUUAUACUCACUUGAUUUUGAAUCACUAGUGACAUGCAAAUCAUACCACAUGAGCAAGGCCUUGUUUUUCAUUGAGAUGAAACAAGAUAGUAACUUGUUGGAAGUGAUGCAUUUUGACGUAUGCAGUCCAAUGGGUGCUGAGGCACGCAGUGGAUAUCAUUAUGUUCUUACUUCAAUGAAUAUUUGAGCAGAUACAAGACUAUUUGCUUAAUGAAUCACAAGUCUGAAAUAUUGAAAAGUUCAAUUCUGUUUCAGAGUGAAGUUCGUCGUAACAAAAGGAUAAACUGUCUAUGAUAUGAUCAUAGAAAUGAAUAUCUGAGUUACGAGUUUUGGUACGCAGUUAAGACAAUGUGGAAAUUGUUUCGCAGUUCAUGCCACCUGGAACAUCAUAGUGUGAUGAUGUGUCUGAACGUCAUAGCCACGCACUAUUUGGUAUGGUGCAUACUAUGAUGUCUCUUAUCAAAAUACCACUAUCGUUUAUGGGUUAUGCAUUAGAGACAACCACAUUCACUUUAAAAUAGGGCACCGUGUAUUUCCGUUGAGAUGACACAGUAUAGACUGAGGUUUAGAGAAAUCUAAACUGUCGUUUCUUGAAAGUUUGGGGCUUCGACACUUAUGUGAAAAAGUUUCAGUCUGAUAAGCUCGAACCCAAAGCGGAUAAAUGCAUCUUCAUAGGAUAUCCAAAACAGUUGGGUACAUCUCCUAUCUCAGAUCCGAAAGCAAAGUGUUUGUUUCCAGAAACGGAUCCUUUCUCGAGGAAAGGUUUCUCUCGAAAGAAUUGAGUGGGAGGGUGGUAGAAUUUGAUGAGGUUAUUGAACCGUCACUUCGACCAGUGUGUAGCAGGGCGCAGGAAGUUGUUCCUGUGGCGCCUACACCAAUUGAAGUGAAAGCUGAUGAGGGUGAUCAUCGAGCAUCAGAUCAAGUUACUACAAACCUCGUAGGUUGACAAGGUCACGUACUAGUGCAGAGUGGUACGGUAACCCUGUCUUGGAGGUCACGUUGUUGAGCAACAGUGAACCUACGAGUUAUGGAGAAGCAAUGGUGGGCCCGGAUUCCGACAAAUGGCUUGAGGCCAUGAAAUCCGAGAGAGGAUCCAUAUAUAAAACAAAGUGUAGACUUUGGAGGAACUACUUGAUGGUAGUAAGACUAUUGAGUAAAGAUGGAUCUUUGUAAGGAAGACAUACGACGAUGGUGAUAAGUCACUAUUAAGAAAAGCUUGACUUGUCGCAAAGAUGUUUCUGACAAGAUCAAACAGUUGACUAUGAUGAGACUUUCUCACUCGUAGCGAUGCUAAUAGUCUGUUGGAAUUAUGUUAGUAGUUGCUGCAUUAUUUAUAAAAUAUUGCACAUAGGAUGUCAAAACAUUGUUUCCUCAAUGGUUUCCUUGAGCAAACAUUGUAUGUGAUACAACCAGAAGGUUUUGUCGAUCCUAAAGAUACUAACAAGUAUGCAAGCUCCAGUGAUCCUUCAAUGGACUGGUGCAAGCAUCUCGGAGUUGGAAUAUACACUUUGAUGAGGUGAUCAAAGAUUUUGGGUUUGUACAAGGUUUAUGAGAAACUUGUAUUUCCAAAGAAGUGAGUGGGAGCACUAUAGUAUUUCUGAUAAGUAUAUGUGGUUGACAUAUUGUGGAUCAGAAGUAAUGUAGAAUUUCUGUAAAGCAUACAAGGUUAUUUGAAAGGUUUUUCAAAGGAAUACCUCGAUUGAGCUACUUGAACAUUGAGCAUCAAGAUCUAUGGAGAUAGAUCAAAACACUUAAUAGAAGUUUCAACAAAAUGCAUGCCUUGACAAGUUUUGAAGGAGUUCAAAAUAGAUCAGCAAAGGAGUUCUUGGUUGCGUUGUGAGGUGUGAAUUUGAGUAAGACUCAAAACCCGACCACGGCAGAAUAAAGAGAAUAGACGAAGGUCGUCUUCUGUGCCUUAGCCGAAGACUCUAAAGUAUGCCAUGCUGAGUACCGCACAUGAUGUGUGCCUUGCACUCUCAUGAGAGGUACAGAGAGUGAUCCAUGAUUGAAUCACUAGCAGCGGUCAAAAUUUAUCCUUAGUAACUGAUAGACUAAGGAAUUUUUCUCGAUUAUGGAGGUGGUUAAAGAGUUCAUCGUAAAGGGUUACGUUGAUGCAAGCUUUGACACUAAUCCGAAUAACUAUGAGUAGUGAAACGGAUUCAUAUAGUAGAGUAGAUAUUUGGAGUAUUUCCGAAUAGCCCAUAGUAGCAGCAUCUAUAAGAUGACAUAAAGAUUUGUAAAGAACACACGGACCUGAAAGUUUCAGAACCGUUGACUAAAACCUCUCUCACGAGCAAGACGUGAUCAGACCCCAUAAAUAUAUGGGUGUUGGAUUCGUUGGAAUCACAUGGUGAUGUGAACUAGAUUAUUGACUCUAGUGCAAGUGGGAGACUGUUGGAAAUAUGCCCUAGAGGCAAUAAUAAAUUAGUUAUUAUUAUGUACGGGCGACUCAAACGGACAAAAUGGAUCAUUGAAAGGACGUGGAUGUCGCCUAGAGGGGGUGAAUAGGCGCUUUUAAAAUAACUAUGGUUUAGGCUUGAACAAAUGCGGAAUAAAACUAAUGUUUAAUUUGUCAAGCACAAAACCUAAAACAACCAGGCUCACCUAUGUGCACCAACAACUUUUGCUAAGGAAGAUAAACAACGAAGUGAUAGCGAGAAAUACAACAAGAAAUAAUAUGGCUAUCACAAAUUAAAGUGCAUAAGCAAAGAGCUCGGGUGAGAGAUAACCAUGCCACGCGGAGACGACGAUGUAUCCCGAGGUUCACACCCUUGCGGAUGCUAAUCUCAGUUUGAAGCGGUGUGGAGGCACAAUGCUCCCCAAUAUGCCACUUGUUGGAAAUAUGCCCUAGAGGCAAUAAUAAAUUAGUUAUUAUUAUAUUUCUUAGUUCAUGAUAAUCGUUUAUUAUCCAUGCUAUAAUUGUAUUGAAUGAAGACUUAUAUACAUGUGUGGAUACAUAGACAAAACACUGUCCCUAGCAAGCCUCUAGUUGGCUAGUCAGUUGAUCAAAGAUAGUCAGGGUCUUCUGAUUAUGAACAAGGUGUUGUUGCUUGAUAACUGGAUCACGUCAUUAGGAGAAUCACGUGAUGGACUAGACCCAAACUAAUAGACGUAGCAUGUUGAUCGUGUCAUUUUGUUGCUACUGUUUUCUGCGUGUCAAGUAUUUGUUCCUAUGACCAUGAGAUCAUAUAACUCACNNNNNNNNNNNNNNNNNNNNNNNNNNNNNNNNNNNNNNNNNNNNNNNNNNNNNNNNNNNNNNNNNNNNNNNNNNNNNNNNNNNNNNNNNNNNNNNNNNNNNNNNNNNNNNNNNNNNNNNNNNNNNNNNNNNNNNNNNNNNNNNNNNNNNNNNNNNNNNNNNNNNNNNNNNNNNNNNNNNNNNNNNNNNNNNNNNNNNNNNNNNNNNNNNNNNNNNNNNNNNNNNNNNNNNNNNNNNNNNNNNNNNNNNNNNNNNNNNNNNNNNNNNNNNNNNNNNNNNNNNNNNNNNNNNNNNNNNNNNNNNNNNNNNNNNNNNNNNNNNNNNNNNNNNNNNNNNNNNNNNNNNNNNNNNNNNNNNNNNNNNNNNNNNNNNNNNNNNNNNNNNNNNNNNNNNNNNNNNNNNNCUGGAUCAAGAAGGCCGAGAUCAUCGUCGAGUUGUACGUGUGCUGAACGCGGAGGUGCCGUCCGUUCGACACUAGAUCGUGGGACUGAUCGCGGGACGGUUCGCGGGGCUGAUCGAGGGACGUGAGGACGUUCCACUACAUCAACCGCGUUCACUAACGCUUCUGCUGUACGGUCUACAAGGGUACGUAGAUCACACAUCCCCUCUCGUAGAUGGACAUCACCAUGAUAGGUCUUCGUGCGCGUAGGAAAUUUUUUGUUUCCCAUGCGACGUUCCCCAACAGCACUAAGGCCACCGUAAUCUCCUCACGCCCUCGCACAAUGCAAGUUGUCGUGAUUCCACUAAGGGACCCUUGAGGGCGGUCACCGAACCCGUACAAACAAGGUUGGGGCAAUCUUCACAACUUAAUUGAAGGCUCCGAACAACACCAGGAAGCUUCAUCACAAUGGCAUAUGGCUUCGAGGUGACACAAAUGCUCGGCGCAAUCUCCACAACUUAAUUGGAGAUCUGGCGCUUUCCCGGAGCUUUACACCACAAUGAUUAAGCUUCGAGGCACCACCAAACUGCUAAGACGCCAAAGCAUCCACGAAGAACAAUAACUAGGGUACCAAGUACCAAAGGGUAAUAAGCUUCUCAAACUUCACGUGCACGCAUCACCGUGGAGAAGUCAAACAUAUGCACCAAAUGCAAUGGCAAGGGCACACGGAAUGCCCAAGUCCUUCACUCCCGAAUCCCACCACAACUACUAAUGCUAUGGUGUAAAAUGAGCGGAAGAACAAAGAAGAACACCAAGAACUCAAAAAACUAGAUCCAAGGGGUUCCCCUCACUUAAAGGAGAAAGUGAUUGGUGGAAGUGUGGAUCUAGAUCUCCUCUCUCUUUUCCCACAAAAAAGGAGCAAGAAUCAUUGGAGGGAUUGAGAGUUAGCAAGCUCAAAGAAGGUCAACAAUGGGGGAAGAACACGAGCUCAACAGAUAAGAACCAUUGGAGAAGAAGACCCCCUUUAUAUAGUGGGCAAAAGAAUCCAACCAUUACCCCCACUUACAUCCCGAGCAAAGCGGUACUACCGCUCCCCCAUGCAGUACUACCGCUGCCCGGUGUUGUACUACUGCACGCACGGUAGUGGCAGAGGGAGGAACUAUUGCACGGGGCAACGAGCGGUAGAACCACCGAAGUGGUACUACCGCACGCCCUUAAGGUACUAUCGCAUGGUAGUAUCCAACUGCCACAGAAGGUACACGGAAGUAAAAACUUACUUCCGUGUUUACCUCGGGUGAGGCUACGGCUGUGCAAAAAUCUGACACUGUAGUACCGGACACGGUUUUGUGGUACUACUGCUCGAGGGCGGUAGUAAAAAACUAUGUCCGCUCUUUACACAGCGGAAGUACCGGGCGGUACUUCCGUGGUACCGAGCGGUACUACCGUAGUACCGAGCGGUACUACCGCAUGUUUAGAGAAAAACAGCUAUGGAACUGAAACUACCAUAACCUUUGCAUACGAGCUCCGAAUCGAGCGAACUCAAACUUGUUGAAUUCAGGAUGACAAGAGCUAUCCAAAUAGCGACUACAAAUCUUAAGAACAUGGAGUUGUGAAAAUGCCAAUUAUAUAGAGAUGUAAGACCUCUAUGAAUAAAGAACCGACAAAAAUUCCAACAUCGAAAACAUCGUAGAAGAUGCAUAUGGACUCUGUUUUCGAUGAACUCGAGCUUGUCAUGAAAAUAACCAUAAACUCUAAAACUCACAAAGAGAAACACCAAACAAGAACCAAAAACUAUGAUGCAAGGAUGCAAAUAGUUUGAGGUGUCAACGAACGAUACGAUCAAGCUACUCACUUGGGAGCCCCCUUGACAGUACAACAAUCUAUCCUGAAAUAGAAAAAACCUAUCAAGGGCAAACAUAUACCUUGCACCUAGUUCUCUUGAGCUAGAUGACGAUGAUCUUGACUUCCUCAAGAUGGACCACCUUUGUUGAUUGCGUUGGUUUGACGAAGACUAGUUGAUUGCUCUCCCAUACUCACUAUGGGUGAGCUACUCUUCAGCACAUCUUUACAAGUCCAUUGUCACCACAAUGAACGGCAAGCUUCAAGCAUGAUAUCUUCAUGAUGCUCCACUUGAACUUGCACAACACAAUCUUGAUGACGAUCGCCACUUAAUGGCAUCCUUUAUAGGCUGAAUGAGAUCUUCCUCUUGACACAAACCCAUGGAAACACACCUAAGCCCACAUAGAACUCUCACGGAGACCAUGGGUUAGUACACAAAAGCGUUAUGGACAAUGCUUACCAUACCAUGGGAUCACUUGAUCCCUCUCGGUACAUCUUGUAUGCUUUGUCUGUUGAUUAUCUUGAUUUACUCUUUGCUUAGUCUUGGUCAACCUUGUGUCUUUAUGAACAAUCUUUAGAUAAUACUUUGAAUAACACCUUGGUCAUCAUAUAAACUCCUUGAAACAACAGAUGGACUUCAAAAAGUGCCCAUAGACAAAUCCUUUAAAUAUAACUCAAUGCAAUCAUUAGUCCAUAAAAAUUGUUAUCAAUUACUAAAACCACAUACGGAGAAAUAUGCUCUAAUAAUCACCCAGUUGGAGUUGCUCUAAGAAGGCCGAAUCCUGAAUGUCCGAGUGAGAAUUAUGAUACUGUGAUUUUUCAGAUUAUUUGAAUGUUUCGUACUUUCGUUUUGUUUCUUCAGCGGUAUAUCACGUCUCCUCUAGUCAUCGCCGAGUCAGUGGAAACUGUGUGAGCGAGCAAUGGCCACGCUGGAAGAUGUCGACGUGCAACGGAGGAGAUGUGACCGGUCAGCACCAAGCACGCGGUGACUCAGUUGCAUACGGAGCACCUCAUAUCGUUGUGUCGUCAUUCUCACCUUGAAAAAAAAAA